UGUCCUUUAAAUAAGGACCCGUAUGAAUGGCCACAUGAGAAAGAAACUGUCUCUUUAGGUAGGUCAAUGAAACUGAUCUCCCUGUACAAAAGCAGGAAUAACAAAGUAAGACAAAAAGACCCUGUGAAACUUAAAAUAAACUGUCAACCCAUGACAAACACUUUUAGUUGGGGCAACUACAGAGAAACAAAACCUCAAACCAUAUCGUCAAGACAAACAAGUCUAAACGACCAUCAACACCGAUCCAGUAUAACUGAUCAAAGAACCAAGCUACUCCAGGGAUAACAGCGCCACAUUCUUGAAGAGUUCAUAUCAACAAGAAUACCUACGACCUCGAUGUUGGAUCAGGAUAACCUAAUGGUGCAGAAGCUAUUAAGGGUUCGUUUGUUCAACGAUUAAUAAU
RNAcentral lists this ribosomal RNA (403 nucleotides) under Chlamydosaurus kingii (frilled dragon). RNAcentral's name for it is "16S rRNA". It matches the Rfam family "Bacterial large subunit ribosomal RNA", at positions 1970 to 2594 of the family's 2925-position model. The record is from RNAcentral. Lineage: Eukaryota; Metazoa; Chordata; Lepidosauria; Squamata; Agamidae.